This is a non-coding RNA of Penaeus vannamei (Pacific white shrimp), 331 nucleotides long. NCBI's taxonomy places the organism in Eukaryota, Metazoa, Arthropoda, Malacostraca, Decapoda, Penaeidae. The record is from RefSeq and is a predicted model, not a curated record.
AGAGAGCGGAGACGUGGGGCUUCGAGGCUCUGAAGAAUUUAAUUGAUUUUCGUCCUUAAUUCGUGUUUUAUAUCGAUUUAACUUUUCGCAUAACAUUUGAUUUGUAUUUUGAUUUGCGUUUGAUGUUGGAAGAGAGGUCAUGGCAGUGCAGAUGCAGGGCUGGAACCCAAAUGAGGUCGAAGAUGCGCUGGCAGGAUGGGAUCCACGCAAAGAGCACUAUAUGAGUUAUCAGAGUUCUGCUGUGGAGAGUGAAGGACCCUUAGCAAACUUUAGCCGUUCAGCCAAUCUGGCCAGGACAAAGGAAAAUGUAUCAGAGCCAUAUGGACUCUAU